Molecule: ribosomal RNA, 206 nt
Filed under: uncultured Eubacteriaceae bacterium
Lineage: Bacteria; Bacillati; Bacillota; Clostridia; Eubacteriales; Eubacteriaceae
Description: partial 16S ribosomal RNA
Rfam family: Bacterial small subunit ribosomal RNA
Source: RNAcentral
CUGAGAGGGCGACCCGGCCACAUUGGGACUGAGACACGGCCCAAACUCCUACGGGAGGCAGCAGUGGGGAAUAUUGCCAAUGGGGGAAACCCUGAUGCAGCGACGCCGCGUGAAGGAUGAAGUAUUUCGGUAUGUAAACUUCUAUCAGCAAGGAAGAAAAUGACGGUACCUGACUAAGAAGCCCCCGCUAACUACGUGCCAGCAGC